AAAUACAAUUCAUCCAUUAUCUCUCAUAUUCUGAGACAAAAAAUUGAAAUCACUUUCAUAGUUUCUCAAACCCUAAUUGCAACUAUCACUUUUCAUCAUCUAUCCCCGAACCUCGUUCAGCUUCGAGAAACCAUGGCUAAAUCGAAGUCGAAGAAGAAAGGGAACCUCAAUAGUCAACCUUCUUCACCGCAGAUCGACAACAGAGGUUUAUAUUUUGAAUUCUUUAAUCUUUUUGACUUUAAACAGUUCUCGAAAUCCCUAACUUUUUAUGUUUUUCUUGUUUGUGUUGUAAUUUUCCAAUUGGAUCGAAUCUCUGAGAUUUUGUGGAUGGGAGAGAGAAUGAAGAGAUCCGAGAGCUCCAGUGUGGAGAGGGCAACGUGACGGCGAGCAUGUCCAAGCUCCGUUGUGGAGAGGAUGACAGGACGGCCAGCAGAUCUGAGCUCCGGUGCGGAGAUGACGCGGCGACGAACAGGUCAUGCCUCUAUUAUGGAAAAGAAGACGACAAGCUGUCGUGGUGUGAAGAUGGAUUUUUGGGCCAAACUUGACAUGACAACAGCAAGAAUCCAUGGAUGAUGCAGCAAGAUAUUUUGACUACAUGACCACAUCAAGAGUCUAUGACGUAGGCCACAAACAACAACGUCCUAAACAUCAAUCUUGUUCUCAUCCAUUAAGAGUCUAUGGAUGAUGCAGCUCAACACCUAUCCAGACUCCAAAACGUGGUUUAUCUACUUUCACUUGGUCUUGUAUUUCAUAACUAUGUCAACAUAUGUAAUUACUAUAGACCAAACUUAGGGAAAGUAUGGAUGUUAACGUUUUAGCGUAUGUGUCCAGUUUUGAUGACCAUGUCCACAUAUAGUUUAUAACUCUAUUAUCCAAGUGUCCAUAUCCAAAUUUUUAUAGAUGAUUGAGAAUAUAAGAACGUUGUCAACGAAAA
This is a long non-coding RNA of Brassica napus (rape), 934 nucleotides long. RefSeq lists it as uncharacterized. Lineage: Eukaryota; Viridiplantae; Streptophyta; Magnoliopsida; Brassicales; Brassicaceae. The transcript is spliced from 2 exons. The record is from RefSeq and is a predicted model, not a curated record.